Molecule: ribosomal RNA, 530 nt
Filed under: Serratia marcescens
Lineage: Bacteria; Pseudomonadati; Pseudomonadota; Gammaproteobacteria; Enterobacterales; Yersiniaceae
Description: bacterial SSU rRNA
Rfam family: Bacterial small subunit ribosomal RNA
Source: RNAcentral
ACGGGGGCCCGCACAAGCGGUGGAGCAUGUGGUUUAAUUCGAAGCAACGCGAAGAACCUUACCUGGUCUUGACAUCCUCGGACAAUCUCAGAGAUGGGAAGUUGCCUUCGGGAACAGAGAGACAGGUGGUGCAUGGUUGUCGUCAGCUCGUGUUGUGAAAUGUUGGGUUAAGUCCCGCAACGAGCGCAACCCUUGUUCUUUGUUGCCAGCGGUCCGGCGGGCAAUUUAAAGGAGACUGCCAGUGAUAAACGGGAGAAAGGUGGGGAGGAGUUCAAUUCUUCAUGCCCUUUUGGCCCAGGGUACCCCACUUGUUCCAAUGGCGCAUACAAAGAGAAGGAACCUCGGGGGAGCAAGCAAUCCUACAAAUCUGUUUUCUAGUCGGGAUGCGGUUUGCAAAUUGGAUUCCAUGAAGUGGGAAUCGUUUGUUAUCGGGAUCAGAAUGCCACGGAAUUAUUUCCGGGCCCUUACCACACGCCCGUGUCACCACAUGGGAGUGGGACCAAAAGAAGUAGGUAGGUUACCUUUUGGGA